GACGAACGCUGGCGGCGUGCUUAACACAUGCAAGUCGAACGGAAAGGCCCUUCGGGGUACUCGAGUGGCGAACGGGUGAGUAACACGUGGGUGAUCUGCCCUGCACUCUGGGAUAAGCCUGGGAAACUGGGUCUAAUACCGGAUAGGACCACACACUUCAUGGUGAGUGGUGCAAAGCUUUUGCGGUGUGGGAUGAGCCCGCGGCCUAUCAGCUUGUUGGUGGGGUAAUGGCCCACCAAGGCGACGACGGGUAGCCGGCCUGAGAGGGUGACCGGCCACACUGGGACUGAGAUACGGCCCAGACUCCUACGGGAGGCAGCAGUGGGGAAUAUUGCACAAUGGGCGCAAGCCUGAUGCAGCGACGCCGCGUGAGGGAUGACGGCCUUCGGGUUGUAAACCUCUUUCAGUAGGGACGAAGCGAAAGUGACGGUACCUACAGAAGAAGGACCGGCCAACUACGUGCCAGCAGCCGCGGUAAUACGUAGGGUCCGAGCGUUGUCCGGAAUUACUGGGCGUAAAGAGCUCGUAGGUGGUUUGUCGCGUUGUUCGUGAAAACUCACAGCUUAACUGUGGGCGUGCGGGCGAUACGGGCAGACUAGAGUACUGCAGGGGAGACUGGAAUUCCUGGUGUAGCGGUGGAAUGCGCAGAUAUCAGGAGGAACACCGGUGGCGAAGGCGGGUCUCUGGGCAGUAACUGACGCUGAGGAGCGAAAGCGUGGGUAGCGAACAGGAUUAGAUACCCUGGUAGUCCACGCCGUAAACGGUGGGUACUAGGUGUGGGUUUCCUUCCUUGGGAUCCGUGCCGUAGCUAACGCAUUAAGUACCCCGCCUGGGGAGUACGGUCGCAAGACUAAAACUCAAAGGAAUUGACGGGGGCCCGCACAAGCGGCGGAGCAUGUGGAUUAAUUCGAUGCAACGCGAAGAACCUUACCUGGGUUUGACAUGCACAGGACGUACCUAGAGAUAGGUAUUCCCUUGUGGCCUGUGUGCAGGUGGUGCAUGGCUGUCGUCAGCUCGUGUCGUGAGAUGUUGGGUUAAGUCCCGCAACGAGCGCAACCCUUGUCCUAUGUUGCCAGCGGGUAAUGCCGGGGACUCGUAGGAGACUGCCGGGGUCAACUCGGAGGAAGGUGGGGAUGACGUCAAGUCAUCAUGCCCCUUAUGUCCAGGGCUUCACACAUGCUACAAUGGCCAGUACAGAGGGCUGCGAAGCCGCAAGGUGGAGCGAAUCCCUUAAAGCUGGUCUCAGUUCGGAUUGGGGUCUGCAACUCGACCCCAUGAAGUCGGAGUCGCUAGUAAUCGCAGAUCAGCAACGCUGCGGUGAAUACGUUCCCGGGCGUUGUACACACCGCCCGUCACGUCAUGAAAGUCGGUAACACCCGAAGCCAGUGGCCUAACCUUUUGGAGGAAACUGUCGAAGGUGGGAUCGGCGAUUGGGACGA
Molecule: ribosomal RNA, 1439 nt
Filed under: uncultured bacterium
Lineage: Bacteria
Description: bacterial SSU rRNA
Rfam family: Bacterial small subunit ribosomal RNA
Source: RNAcentral